GGCUUGCUCAUUGCUCUAGUGGUCCUACGAAGAGGACGAGUUUUACUGUUUGUGACGUUGAUCCUUUGACGUUGAAGCCGAUGGCGCACUCGUGUACUGCUCCAUGGCCACAUAACAGAACAGAACGCUUUCUUGCGGCUUGCCUCGCAUCUCCUCCACAAUCCCUUCAUCCUCGACACCCAGGUUAUGACCAGAUCGCUUGGACAUCUGCGGAGCAAAUUGAGUUUGUACUUUGUAGACCACACACAGGGGUACCGGCUAGUUCUCCAGUAGGUCACAUACAAGGCUACCGGCUAAAUCUCCUGUGGGAAAAGCACCGUGCACUUAGAAUGGGGGACCGAAUUGUCCUGGAGCGCAUACUUUCCGGAUUUGAGAAACCGACGAACCUCGCAUUAGCACUUUUACAGGAGAUCACUGAAAAUUUCUCUGAAAUGAGAAAAAUUGGGGAGGGUGGAUUUGGGGAGGUUUACAAGGGUGUGCUCCACAAUAGGAUUAUUGCCGUGAAGAGGAUAAUUGUGAGCGAACACACAAUCGACGACAGGCUAUUUGAUCGUGAAGUUAAAAAUUUGAUGAAGAUUAUUAGCCAUCGAAAUGUAGUUCGUUUUCUCGGCUUUUGUUCAAAUACACAUCGUGAGGCGAUAAAAGAGGAAGGAUCAACAGAAUUGGUUUUGGCCCAGAUGAGAGAAAGAUUACUUUGUUUCGAGUAUAUCAGCAACAGAAGCCUCGAUAAACAUAUUACCGAUGAAUUACGAGGACUUGAAUGGAGUAUACGAUACGAAAUAAUCAAAGGAAUUUGUCAUGGUUUGCAUUACCUUCACGAGGAAAAAAAUAUUAUUCAUAUGGACCUCAAACCUGGCAAUAUAAUGAUAGAUGAAGAUAUGGUGCCAAAGAUAACAGAUUUUGGUUUAUCAAGACUUGAUAAACAUACACACACCAGUGGUACCCGUUAUAUAACACAAGGAUACUGUGCUCCAGAAUACGUGAAUGGUGGCAAGACAUCAAAAAAGGCUGACAUGUAUAGUUUGGGUGUUAUACUCACGGAACUGAUAACCGGACUUAAGGGCGAUCCAGAAAAUGUUAAUGUGCUGCGAAGGUGGAUGCACAGGUGGAAUAAAUCACCAAAACAUACAGUACUGUCCCAGUACCAGCAAGUAACUAAAUGCAUGAAAAUUGCAUCAUGCUGCAGGAAAAAGGAACCAUCAGAUAGACCUUUUAUAUUGGAUAUAAUUGGCAUUCUCAAUGAAUCUGAAGAAAUCACGAAUGAGCACAUUGACAAGAUAAGCCUUUACUCGGAUGACAUGCUUGGAAUUAAGCCGCUCGAACUACGGUUUCUCUUUGAGCGUCAGAAACAGAUAUCAUCCGUAGUUAAGCUAAUCAACAAGACAAAGGAUUACUACGCCUUCAACAUCGAAACACCAAGCCAACAGUACUGUGCACAACCAAACAAAGGCAUUGUGUGUCCACAAUCCAAGUGUACUAUCCAGAUAACAAUGCAAAUGCAUGAGACUACACCACAAGAUAUGCCGUACACCGACGAUUUUAUCGUGCAAAGCACAAAAGUCGACGGGGACCUUAGAGCAGGGGAUAUCACUGAUGUCUUGUUCAACAAAGAGCCGGGUAAAGUGGAUGAGGUAAUUUUGACAGUUGUGGUAUAUCUGCCUGAGAAAUCUAAGGGAGAUCUCAAGAGUCGAGAAGACACCAAGAAAAAACGGAAUAUGGUUGAAUAUGCUUUUAGCAAGGACAAACCUGGCGUCGGCGCAACUAUGCAAUCAGAGGACAUUAAUUCUAUUGGUUACAAAGAUGUGCGAGGACAAUGUACUGGGCAACCUGAGCACCAUAGCUUCCAUGCAGCUCCAAGCAUGCAAACCAAGAUGAGCAACAGAGUUGUGGAUCUUGCAACAGGGGCCAUGGGCAGCCUUCUCUACAAGCUUGGCGACCUCCUCAAGGAAGAGUACAAUCUAGAGAUUGGUGCGAAGACAGACAUAGAGUAUUUCUCAGAUGAGCUUUUGGAGAUGCAGUUAGCGCUCUGCAAGGUGUCCGAGGUACAACGAGACAACCUCAAUGACCAGGUCAUACACUGGGCCAACAAUGUUAGGGAUAUGUCAUAUGACAUUGAGGAUGUGGUUGAUGGCUUUUUGGUACACAUCGAGCAUGCCUCUAAUACAGGCUUCUUCAUGGGGCUCAUGCAGAACAUGUUCAAUCUCUUCAAGUGGGGAAAGACUCACAAUCCGAUCCGUGACACGAUCAAAGACAUAAAGAAACAAGUUAAAGAUGCGGCUGAUAGGCGUAGAAAGUGCAAGGUUGAUGAAGUCGUGGCUAAUGUAGCUGUCGUGACUACAAUUGACCCUCGCAUUUCAGCUAUAUACAAAGAUCAGAAAGAGCUCGUUGGAAUUAAAGAGCCAAGAAAUGAGCUAAUCAAGUGGCUCUCUGAUAAGGAGGGGGGUGGAGAUGUGUCUAAGAAGCAACUCAAGAUAGUCUCUAUUGUUGGAUUCGGAGGAUUGGGCAAGACAACACUUGCCAAGGCAGUGUAUGACAAGCUUCAAUCCCAGUUCUAUCCUAUGGUUUUUGUUCCAGUGGGUAGGAAUCCUAAUGUGAAAAAAGUUUUUGAGGCAAUUCUCCAUGAGCUUGGCUAUGGUUUCAAUGCACUAAACUUAAAUGAAAUGCAGCUCAUCAACAAAAUUCGAGAAUUGCUCCAGAACAAGAGGUACUUCAUAGUAAUUGAUGAUAUAUGGGAUUCCUCAGCGUGGGAUAUUAUUAAAUGUGCUUUGACAAAUGACAAUUGUGGCAGUGGAGUGUUGACAACUACCAGGAUUCGCUCUGUUGCUGAUGACUGUUGCAUACAUAGCAGAGGAUAUGUUUAUAUGAUGAAACCACUAAAUAACCAAGACUCAAGAAAACUUUUUGUUAGUAGAAUAUUUGGUACCCAAGAAGCUUGCCCUAAUGUACCAGCAGAGAUUUCAACUGACAUUCUGAAAAAAUGUGGUGGCUUGCCACUUGCUAUCAUCAGCAUAGCAAGCCUUCUGGCUCAUAACCCAAGGUCAAGAUGGGAUUCUAUAAGGAAUUCUUUGGUGUCUGUGUUUGCAGGAAAUCAUGAUGAUCUUAAAGAUAUGGAACAAAUAUUGGAUCUUAGCUACAUGCAUCUCCCUCACCAUCUUAAGACAUGCCUGCUUGAUAUUGGUAAGUACCGAGAGGACCAGGAGAUAGAAAAGGAUUAUUUGCUGAGGCAAUGGAUAGCUCAAGAGUUUGUGAGCACAACUAGUGUGCGUGAUGCCGAGGAUGUCGCAGAAGACUACUUCUAUAAGCUCAUCAACAUGAGCAUGAUCCAACCUUGGAAGAUAGACUACAAUGAUGAGGUGUUGUCCUGCAAAGUACAUGAUAUAAUGCUUGAUCUCAUCAGAUCCAAGGUCGCAGAAGAAAAUUUUAGUCUUAUAAUAGAUGGGCCCGAAGUUGUGAUAAGGGAACACAAAAGGGUCCGCCGAGUCUCCAUUUAUUACAAUGGUGAAGAUGAUGGUGAAAUACUAGAAGCAAUCAGUGGGCCACUAUCGCAUGUUCGGUCGAUCUUACUUUUUAGAGGGCCUCUUGUGCCUUCUUUUCUGGUGCUGAAGUAUGUUCGAGUUCUUCACCUUGAAGAUGAGAGAUGUGAGAGGCUAGACCUCACCGGUAUUUGUGGGUUGUUUCUACUAAGGUAUUUAAAGAUUUUUUGCUGCAGGAUACAUUUGAUACUACCUAGUAAAAUUGGGGAGCUACGGCAAUUGGAGACAGUAGAAGUGGAAGGGCAAUAUAAACCGACAUCUCUUCCAUCAGAUAUUGUUACUUUGCCCCGGUUGUCGCAUCUCAGUUAUUCAAAUGGUCUGGUGUUGCCUGACGGGAUUGGCAAGUUGAAAUCUCUGCGCACCCUACGAGGUGCUGCAUUUUUGGAAAGCUCGGUGGACAAUAUUAAGGGCCUCGGCGAGCUGACAAACUUGAGGGAACUUGAGAUGUUUUCGGAAUUGCGGUUUUAUAAUGAAGAGGAUGAAUUGGAGUGGAAGAUGCAUAUUGAUGCCUUGCGCUCUUCCAUUGGAAAGCUUUCCAACACCCUCAGGAGCCUUUAUAUCGGAGAAAGAUGCCCCAUAGUACCGCUGGUCCAUGGCUGGAGCAGCACACUAACCCCACCUCGUCGUCUUCGGAAGCUUGAUCUGACUGGCUGUGAGUUCCAAGGAAUCCCCGAGUGGAUUGCUCAGCUCCACGAGCUCUACAGUUUAACUAUUUUCGUGAGGGAAGUGGCUGAUUUUGUCAGUAUUGUUGCAGGGUUGCGUUCCCUUGCGCACUUAGAAUUGCGGGGACUCAUGUAUGGACUGUCUAAAAGGGAAAAGUGGGUAAUCAUCAAUGCCAGGGCAUUCGGAGCGCUCAAGCAUCUGGAGUUGUACUGUCCUUAUGUGUCACUGGUCUUUGAAGCGGGAGCUAUGCCCAACCUAGAGAAGCUCGGCAUAUGCUUUCGUUUCUUCAUAUCUGCUGAAUUGUUACCAGUUGGCAUCGAGCACUUGCCAGCAGGCACUCUGCGGGAUAUCCAUUUAACGUUGGCGUCCAACGGUAAUGAGGUAGUGGCCUCCCAGUUCGAACAACAUAAAGCAGCUGUCGGUAUGCUGUUGAAGAGCGCGUUUGAGGCGCAUCAUCCUGCUGCAGAUGUCACCAUUGACUUUGAUAACGUCCUCAAGAGAUUGAUGCAGUCGCUGUAACUCGUGUUUUAAGGAGGUAUUGCCGCCUACUUCAAAUGUGCUUUCCUUUUAAUGAUCUUCUAUUAGCACCUGUUGUGUUGUAUGGCUAAGAUCUUAAUCCUGUAGCAGUUGCUGCGACGCUGUAUUACUGUCAGACAAACCAUUUUCAGUCAAUAGUGACGUUCUUCCUGGUGGUUUCUUCCAUCAACAGCCCUUAUUCCAUAAAUUACUACUUAUUUUUGUAUUGUUUGCG
RNAcentral lists this ribosomal RNA (4947 nucleotides) under Triticum aestivum (bread wheat). RNAcentral's name for it is "partial small subunit ribosomal RNA". Lineage: Eukaryota; Viridiplantae; Streptophyta; Magnoliopsida; Poales; Poaceae. The record is from RNAcentral.